RNAcentral lists this unclassified non-coding RNA (268 nucleotides) under uncultured fungus. Its description in RNAcentral is "sequence contains ITS1". Lineage: Eukaryota; Fungi. The record is from RNAcentral.
UUUAUUUUUUUUGUUUUAAAGAUUCAGACGACAGAAAGACAAGAGUCAAAAAGCCUUCGGCGGGAGCACGCCCGCGUUAGCCGACGGCCGCUCGAGAGCAGACGUCCCGCCGAAGCAACAGGUCAAUACACAAAGGGUGGAGGGUCUCCAGCGAGCUGGAGAAAAAACCUCGCUAAUGAUCCUUCCGCAGGUUCACCUAUUUGCAGUCAGUAUUAGAAUCAAAACCAGAAAAACAAGAUGUGCCAUGGUGUUUACGUACCUACGGAAA